UACGUAGGGUCCGAGCGUUGUCCGGAAUUAUUGGGCGUAAAGGGCUCGUAGGCGGUUCGUCACGUCGGGAGUGAAAACUCGGGGCUUAACCCCGAGCCUGCUUCCGAUACGGGCAGACUAGAGGUAGGCAGGGGAGAGCGGAACUCCUGGUGUAGCGGUGGAAUGCGCAGAUAUCGGGAGGAACACCGGUGGCGAAGGCGGUUCUCUGGGCCUGUACUGACGCUGAGGAGCGAAAGCGUGGGGAGCGAACAGGG
Molecule: ribosomal RNA, 254 nt
Filed under: uncultured bacterium
Lineage: Bacteria
Description: partial 16S ribosomal RNA
Rfam family: Bacterial small subunit ribosomal RNA
Source: RNAcentral